Molecule: ribosomal RNA, 497 nt
Filed under: uncultured bacterium
Lineage: Bacteria
Description: partial 16S ribosomal RNA
Rfam family: Bacterial small subunit ribosomal RNA
Source: RNAcentral
GAUGAACGCUGGCGGCGUGCCUAAUACAUGCAAGUCGAGCGAACAGACGAGGAGCUUGCUCCUCUGACGUUAGCGGCGGACGGGUGAGUAACACGUGGAUAACCUACCUAUAAGACUGGGAUAACUUCGGGAAACCGGAGCUAAUACCGGAUAAUAUAUUGAACCGCAUGGUUCAAUAGUGAAAGACGGUUUUGCUGUCACUUAUAGAUGGAUCCGCGCCGCAUUAGCUAGUUGGUAAGGUAACGGCUUACCAAGGCGACGAUGCGUAGCCGACCUGAGAGGGUGAUCGGCCACACUGGAACUGAGACACGGUCCAGACUCCUACGGGAGGCAGCAGUAGGGAAUCUUCCGCAAAGGGCGAAAGCCUGACGGAGCAACGCCGCGUGAGUGAUGAAGGUCUUCGGAUCGUAAAACUCUGUUAUUAGGGAAGAACAAAUGUGUAAGUAACUAAGCACGUCUUGACGGUACCUAAUCAGAAAGCCACGGCUAACUACGUG